RNAcentral lists this long non-coding RNA (1366 nucleotides) under Pan troglodytes (chimpanzee). Its description in RNAcentral is "lincRNA". Lineage: Eukaryota; Metazoa; Chordata; Mammalia; Primates; Hominidae. The record is from RNAcentral.
UCACAAGUCACACAAUAUUCCAGUCAAAUACAGAUGGUUGAGAAAAGUCAUCCAUCUUCCCUCCCCACCCUCCCACAGCCCCUCAACCACUGCCCUGAAACUUAUAUGCUGUUAUCCGCAGCUCCAUCUGGAGCAUCACAGCUACUGUCAACCCUGACGCUCUUUCUGAAAAAACACCGGAUGGACAUCAGAACUAUUUCUUUAAAGAUGUUACAGAGCCACACAGGAAAACUUGCCUUAUGAUUUUGAAUGCACAGAUCUGAUUUGACUAAACAUGAUAACUAGAGAAUCACCCAAUCUACUCCCAUUUUCAACUCUAAAUCAUCAGAGUGUCUCAAAUCCAAAGCACACACAGACCAGCCUGGCCAACGCGGUGAAACUCCACCCCUACUAAAAGUAUAAAAAUUAUCCAGGUGUGGUGGUGGGCGCCUGUAAUCCAAGCUACUUGGGAGUCUGAGGCAGGAGAAUCCCUUGAACCUGGGAGAUGGAGGUUGCAGUGAGCAGAGAUCACACCACUGCACUCUAGCCUGGGCCACAAAUCAACAACAACAACAACAACAAAAAACAAAGCGCACACAGAGACUGAGGUCCCCUUUGGCAUUGAGAAGAUGGCUAUGCAAGUCCCAACUAGCAAGUGCAAACUUCCCAGCUUCACUUCUGCCAGUGUCCCUUCACCCCUUCUCAACCCCACUGGGAGGCAGGAGGGUGCUUGACAAUAACAGCCUUGGCAUCACUCUGCCAGGGUGUAAUAGGAACUGUUACAAUUCUGAGAUUCUGUAUGGGAGUGUCUAGUUGCAGGAAACAAGCUCAGGGCUUCCACUGAUUCUACAUUAUGGCUGUGGCUUGCCUUUUCACUUCUUGUGUCCUGUUUAAGAAAUAUCUACUAUCCCAAGCAUCUGGCAUCUUUCUUGACACAUGUAGCAGUUGCUUUUUGACAGCUUGCUUCUUCAGUGAAUGAAUAAAUUAAUAAAGAGAAAUGUGAUGUUCAGUGAUCCAUUUUGCAGAUAACACUAACAAAGUUGACCUUAGAAUUGGAGUGCCUGGGUUAGAACCCUGCUGGUACCACCUGCUUACUGCAUGCUUCUGAUGUGAGUUCAGGAGAAGACACUGGCAAGGACAGCAAAGAACAGGAGAACACUCUAGCUUCCCUGAUAGCAUUCAAGGUGCUGUCCAAAAGUUUCACUCUUACUGCCCAGGCUGGAGUGGAAUGGCACAAUCUUGGCUCACUGCAACCUCCGUCUUUCGGGCUAAGGCAGAAGAACGGCUUGAACCCGGGAGGCGGAGUUUGCAGUGGGCCGAGAUCGCGCCACUGCACUGCAGCCUGGGUGACAGAGUCUGUUUCAAAAAAAAAAAAAAAAAAAAAAAA